GGGUUGUGAGGUUAAGCGACUAAGCGUACACGGUGGAUGCCCUGGCAGUCAGAGGCGAUGAAGGGCGUGCUAAUCUGCGAUAAGCGCCGGUAAGGUGAUAUGAACCGUUAUAACCGGCGAUACCCGAAUGGGGAAACCCAGUGUGAUUCGUCACACUAUCAUUAACUGAAUCCAUAGGUUAAUGAGGCGAACCGGGGGAACUGAAACAUCUAAGUACCCCGAGGAAAAGAAAUCAACCGAGAUUCCCCCAGUAGCGGCGAGCGAACGGGGAGGAGCCCAGAGCCUGAAUCAGCAUGUGUGUUAGUGGAAGCGUCUGGAAAGGCGCGCGAUACAGGGUGACAGCCCCGUACACAAAAGCGCAUAUGCUGUGAGCUCGAUGAGUAGGGCGGGACACGUGGUAUCCUGUCUGAAUAUGGGGGGACCAUCCUCCAAGGCUAAAUACUCCUGACUGACCGAUAGUGAACCAGUACCGUGAGGGAAAGGCGAAAAGAACCCCGGCGAGGGGAGUGAAAAAGAACCUGAAACCGUGUACGUACAAGCAGUGGGAGCCCCACCACUAAGCCAGUGGUGAACUCCACAUACGCAUCCUUUGCUGAGGAGACGGUUAACGGAGCGAAAGCGACGUUCAACCUCAAAAGAAGCAGAGGGGGCUUAGUGGUGGGGUGACUGCGUACCUUUUGUAUAAUGGGUCAGCGACUUAUAUUCUGUAGCAAGGUUAACUGUAUAGGGGAGCCGGAGGGAAACCGAGUCUUAACCGGGCGUUAAGUUGCAGGGUAUAGACCCGAAACCCGGUGAUCUAGCCAUGGGCAGGUUGAAGGUUGGGUAACACUAACUGGAGGACCGAACCGACUAAUGUUGAAAAAUUAGCGGAUGACCUGUGGCUGGGGGUGAAAGGCCAAUCAAACCGGGAGAUAGCUGGUUCUCCCCGAAAGCUAUUUAGGUAGCGCCUCGUGAAUUCAUCUCCGGGGGUAGAGCACUGUUUCGGCUAGGGGGCCAUCCCGGCUUACCAACCCGAUGCAAACUGCGAAUACCGGAGAAUGUUAUCACGGGAGACACACGGCGGGUGCUAAUGUCCGUCGUGAAGAGGGAAACAACCCAGACCGCCAGCUAAGGUCCCAAAGUCAUGGUUAAGUGGGAAACGAUGUGGGAAGGCCCAGACAGCCAGGAUGUUGGCUUAGAAGCAGCCAUCAUUUAAAGAAAGCGUAAUAGCUCACUGGUCGAGUCGGCCUGCGCGGAAGAUGUAACGGGGCUAAACCAUGCACCGAAGCUGCGGCAGCGACACCGUGUGUUGUUGGGUAGGGGAGCGUUCUGUAAGCCUGUGAAGGUGUGCUGUGAGGCAUGCUGGAGGUAUCAGAAGUGCGAAUGCUGACAUAAGUAACGAUAAAGCGGGUGAAAAGCCCGCUCGCCGGAAGACCAAGGGUUCCUGUCCAACGUUAAUCGGGGCAGGGUGAGUCGACCCCUAAGGCGAGGCCGAAAGGCGUAGUCGAUGGGAAACGGGUUAAUAUUCCCGUACUUGGUGUUACUGCGAAGGGGGGACGGAGAAGGCUAUGUUGGCCGGGCGACGGUUGUCCCGGUUUAAGCGUGUAGGUAUGUGUUCCAGGUAAAUCCGGUUCACUUUAACACUGAGGCGUGACGACGAGGCACUACGGUGCUGAAGCAACAAAUGCCCUGCUUCCAGGAAAAGCCUCUAAGCAUCAGGUAACAUCAAAUCGUACCCCAAACCGACACAGGUGGUCAGGUAGAGAAUACCAAGGCGCUUGAGAGAACUCGGGUGAAGGAACUAGGCAAAAUGGUGCCGUAACUUCGGGAGAAGGCACGCUGACACGUAGGUGAAGUGAUUUACUCACGGAGCUGAAGUCAGCCGAAGAUACCAGCUGGCUGCAACUGUUUAUUAAAAACACAGCACUGUGCAAACACGAAAGUGGACGUAUACGGUGUGACGCCUGCCCGGUGCCGGAAGGUUAAUUGAUGGGGUCAGCGCAAGCGAAGCUCCUGAUCGAAGCCCCGGUAAACGGCGGCCGUAACUAUAACGGUCCUAAGGUAGCGAAAUUCCUUGUCGGGUAAGUUCCGACCUGCACGAAUGGCGUAAUGAUGGCCAGGCUGUCUCCACCCGAGACUCAGUGAAAUUGAACUCGCUGUGAAGAUGCAGUGUACCCGCGGCAAGACGGAAAGACCCCGUGAACCUUUACUAUAGCUUGACACUGAACAUUGAGCCUUGAUGUGUAGGAUAGGUGGGAGGCUUUGAAGUGUGGACGCCAGUCUGCAUGGAGCCGACCUUGAAAUACCACCCUUUAAUGUUUGAUGUUCUAACGUGGACCCGUGAUCCGGGUUGCGGACAGUGUCUGGUGGGUAGUUUGACUGGGGCGGUCUCCUCCUAAAGAGUAACGGAGGAGCACGAA
This 2399-nucleotide ribosomal RNA is filed under the name Salmonella enterica subsp. enterica serovar Typhi str. 404ty. RNAcentral describes it as "partial 23S ribosomal RNA". It matches the Rfam family "Bacterial large subunit ribosomal RNA", at positions 1 to 2314 of the family's 2925-position model. The record is from RNAcentral. Lineage: Bacteria; Pseudomonadati; Pseudomonadota; Gammaproteobacteria; Enterobacterales; Enterobacteriaceae.